Molecule: ribosomal RNA, 118 nt
Filed under: Diaphorina citri (Asian citrus psyllid)
Lineage: Eukaryota; Metazoa; Arthropoda; Insecta; Hemiptera; Psyllidae
Source: RNAcentral
GCCAGCAGUGAGCGAACGCUGAAUCCACCAGUUCCCAAUGGAUCACUGAAGUUAAGCAACAUUGUACGUGGUUAGUAUCUAGAUGGGUAACCAUCUGGUCAAUCACGUGCUGCUGGCU